This 450-nucleotide ribosomal RNA is filed under the name uncultured bacterium. RNAcentral's name for it is "partial 16S ribosomal RNA". It matches the Rfam family "Bacterial small subunit ribosomal RNA", at positions 354 to 796 of the family's 1533-position model. The record is from RNAcentral.
GUGGGGAAUAUUGGACAAUGGGCGAAAGCCUGAUCCAGCCAUGCCGCGUGUGUGAAGAAGGUCUUCGGAUUGUAAAGCACUUUAAGUUGGGAGGAAGGGCAGUAAGUUAAUACCUUGCUGUUUUGACGUUACCGACAGAAUAAGCUCCGGCUAACUUCGUGCCAGCAGCCGCGGUAAUACGAAGGGUGCAAGCGUUAAUCGGAAUUACUGGGCGUAAAGCGCGCGUAGGUGGUUUUGUAAGUUGGAGGUGAAAUCCCCGGGCUCAACCUGGGAACUGCCUCCAAAACUGCAUGACUAGAGUACGGUAGAGGGUAGUGGAAUUUCCUGUGUAGCGGUGAAAUGCGUAGAUAUAGGAAGGAACACCAGUGGCGAAGGCGACUACCUGGACUGAUACUGACACUGAGGUGCGAAAGCGUGGGGAGCAAACAGGAUUAGAUACCCGAGUAGUCC